RNAcentral lists this unclassified non-coding RNA (2261 nucleotides) under Hevea brasiliensis (rubber tree). The record is from RNAcentral. Lineage: Eukaryota; Viridiplantae; Streptophyta; Magnoliopsida; Malpighiales; Euphorbiaceae.
UAUAGAUAAACAUUUGAAAAUGACCGCUGGUUUGAUCAUUUGGACAAUUUGUACAGGUAAAUAAAAAGAUUGCAAGCAAAAACACCAACUACAGAACAGGACCCUUUGCAGGUAACCUGGUUACAAGAAAACAAGAAAGCUAAGAACUACCUUGACUACCUCUCAUGUAUCUAGGAGAGCUUUCAGCUAUCCUCCUAAACUUUGAGAUGCUUUGAUUCCUAUAAGUGUCUAAUGUCUUACUAAUCUAGAUACAGAAGCUUUGCAACAUCCUUUUUGUAGCAACUUCUCGCCUAACUGAGCCCCAGAUGAUAGCAGCUCGUAGCUUGCACCACCCUGCUUUGGAUUUUUCAAGACAAAAACUUGGGUGAGAAGAGAUGAUACCUAGUUCUCCUUCAUUAUCUGAACUGAAAUAAAAAGUAUUUGCAGGAGACCAGGUUGAUGUUUGUGCCUGGGAAAUGUCCUCAGGAGUUGGUUGACUACUUGUCACUAGUGGCCAUUGUGAUGAACUUGUAGACCAAUUGUUUUCUCCAGGGUAGGGAACGGAAAAGAUGUCCCUGAAUUUGAAACUGUUCCUUAGUGUUGAAGGAAACACUUGCAGUGGAUUAGGAUUCUGUGCUCCAGAAAAUUCUAACUGAUUGCCCAUGGGGUUGAAAUCUAGCAGCAUCUCUGCUUGAUCUUGGCGUGCAACUGGGAAUUCAAUUUGCUGCAGACUGGGAUUUGGACCAUUGAAUGACUCAGUUUGUGGGCAUGCCAAGGACCUUGAAGGGCCAAAAAUGUCACGAGCAUCAAUCAGGAUAAAGCAAGCCACAUUCUUAUAAGCUUGUUGCUUUAAACUUUCCACCAGGGCCCUUUGAGAAGGAGCGAGUUCGUCCAGAGGCUUAUACAUAGGGCCAUCAAAUGCUGCUCCUAUGAGCUUGUACACAGAAUUGAAAAGAAGCCCAACACUUUGUCCAGCUUCAAAGUAAGUGUAAAACUUAUCAUCCAGAACACAUUCAUUUGCAUGAUCCAUAAUUAUAUCCCAUAUCUUGUUUGAAAUUCCACAUCCAAGCACCUUCCUUAGUUCAGAUGGAUUAAUUGCAUAUAUCUGCAGAAAGUCCCUCACAGUAUGAAUUCCAUAUUCAGCCAACUUUUUGUGGGAUGCACCGCCCUUUGCUAUUCUUUCCAAACGCCAGAUUUCAUCAUCCAAACUUGGAGGGUGAUGUUUCUUGUACAACUCUCCGCGAUGAUCCUUUACCACAAAAGCUUCACUCCUAGCUUCCCUAAUCCUUGCUUCACCACAAGUUUUAGGCACAGGUCUAGCUCCAAGCCGAAAUUUUCGACUCCUUUGCCAACUAGAAUUGUCAGUGAAAAUUAUAUCACUAAUCAUGCCAAUUCCAGCUCUUAGUGUAACAUUUAAAUCUCCUCCAGUCACCAGAGGCCUUCUACCCUCUCUUUCACGGAUAACAUUGGCAUUGAAUUCAUUUUCACUCCAAUCUUCUCGGUCAUCCAAACCGAAAUCACCAUCAAGGACAAGAAUCUCAAUCUUCAUAGAAGACAGAGGACCAGAAGUGACGAGGGUCUUGCUAUUAGCAUCCAACAAUUCAAUCCUAAUGGGGUUACCAUCCUCAGUUUCUAUAUUGCUACCAGUAAAUAUGGUAGCGGGUGGUCUGUUAACGAAUUGCAGCAGAAAGCCUCUUGCUCCUGAUGUGUCAGUCUGAUGGAACGAGGGUCUGAAGGACGGUUGAAAUUGAAGGACUCGUUGAACAGUCCGUUCCACCUCAUCUCGCACCACUAGUCUGAGGAAAGGUUCAAUCCUAGUAACCAUAUCCUGCAUUGAAAGCAAUCCCAAAACAUCUCUGAUGGCAUUCUUUAAACGCUUUGGGUCUUGAGCUGGAGAAUCAGUCCCAUCCUCAGAAUCACCGUGAAAAGGCCUCUUUGGCACCAUUUACAAGACUCAAACAAGAAAUGUACAGUUUGAAGUUGCAAAUUCUGGUACAAAGAGCAAGAGCAACCAACCCAGACAAUCUUAUAGGGUAUAAAUAAGCCAAUUUUAAAGAUUUACUUGCGAGAAAAGGGAUGAAGAAGCUACAUAGAAGUUUCAGUACACAAAACUCUACGCGCUAAUCCAUGCACACAAAAGUCAAGAACCGAAGUGAUAUUCAAAAAGUUGAAAAAGAGCUAACAAGAAGAAUAUAUUUUCUUGUAAACCAUAAACAACUCAAAGAACUCUCUAUUUGGAUACUCCGAAGUAUCAAAAAAUACAACAUAGUACUUAUCGGCUG